Molecule: ribosomal RNA, 413 nt
Filed under: uncultured eukaryote
Lineage: Eukaryota
Description: bacterial SSU rRNA
Rfam family: Bacterial small subunit ribosomal RNA
Source: RNAcentral
GAUGAACGCUGGCGGUAUGCCUAACACAUGCAAGUCGUACGAGAGUUUUUAACUCAAGUGGCGGACGGGUGAGUAACACGUGAGAAUUUGCCUUUAGGAGGGGGAUAACAGCGCGAAAGUGCUGCUAAUACCCCAUAUGCUUUCGAGUGAAAUGAAUUUAUUCGCCUAAAGAGAAGCUCGCGGCUGAUUAGCUUGUNGGUAAGGUAAUGGCUUACCAANGCGACGAUCAGUACCUGGUUUGAGAGGACGAUCAGACACACUGGAACUGAGACACGGUCCAGACUCCUACGGGAGGCAGCAGUGGGGAAUUNUCCGCAAUGGGCGAAAGCCUGACGGAGCAAUACCGCGUGAGGGAAGACGGCCUAUGGGUUGUAAACCUCUUUUCUCAGGNAGGAACUCAAUGACGUGUANCU